This 443-nucleotide ribosomal RNA is filed under the name uncultured bacterium. RNAcentral's name for it is "partial 16S ribosomal RNA". It matches the Rfam family "Bacterial small subunit ribosomal RNA", at positions 338 to 795 of the family's 1533-position model. The record is from RNAcentral.
CCUACGGGAGGCAGCAGUGGGGAAUAUUGGGCAAUGGGCGCAAGCCUGACCCAGCAACGCCGCGUGAAGGAAGAAGGCUUUCGGGUUGUAAACCUCUUUUGUCAGGGACGAAGCAAGUGACGGUACCUGACGAAUAAGCCACGGCUAACUACGUGCCAGCCGCCGCGGUAAUACGGAGGUGGCAAGCGUUAUCCGGAUUUAUUGGGUGUAAAGGGCGCGUAGGCGGGAAUGCAAGUCAGAUGUGAAAUCUAUGGGCUCAACCCGUGAACUGCAUUUGAAACUGUUUCCCUUGAGUGUCGGAGAGGUGAUCGGAAUUCCUGGUGUAGCGGUGAAAUGCGUAGAUAUAAGGAAGAACACCAGUGGCGAAGGCGGAUUACUGGACGAUAACUGACGGUGAGGCGCGAAAGCGUGGGGAGCAAACAGGAUUAGAUACCCUGGUAGUC